Non-coding RNA from Caenorhabditis elegans, 149 nucleotides. NCBI's taxonomy places the organism in Eukaryota, Metazoa, Nematoda, Chromadorea, Rhabditida, Rhabditidae. The record is from Ensembl.
UCGUAAGAAUAUGGCCAGCAACUCGAUGGACCCCAUCCAAGAUUGGAAAAUGGGAAUAGGUCUUCAAACAUUUCUCUCGUGAACCAGGAUUCUAGUUUUGAAGCAGGCAGAUUAUUUGGGUCCGUUGGCCGAGUGCAUGAUUUCGGAGG